ACAUCAGUGCUGGCGCAAUGGUAGCGCGCGAGACUUCUAAUCUCGAGGCUGUGGGUUCGAGUCCCACGUAGGGUA
This 75-nucleotide transfer RNA is filed under the name Mycosphaerella sp. Ston1. Its description in RNAcentral is "tRNA-Arg (TCT) (tRNA-Arg-TCT-1-1)". It matches the Rfam family "tRNA". From Rfam's summary of the family: Transfer RNA (tRNA) molecules are approximately 80 nucleotides in length. Their secondary structure includes four short double-helical elements and three loops (D, anti-codon, and T loops). The record is from RNAcentral. Lineage: Eukaryota; Fungi; Ascomycota; Dothideomycetes; Mycosphaerellales; Mycosphaerellaceae.